Non-coding RNA from Petromyzon marinus (sea lamprey), 2566 nucleotides. NCBI's taxonomy places the organism in Eukaryota, Metazoa, Chordata, Hyperoartia, Petromyzontiformes, Petromyzontidae. The record is from RefSeq and is a predicted model, not a curated record.
UGGGCAAUCAUUUGUGGCCAGGUCGCUUCUGAAAAAGAGCUAUGUAGCUCAGUGGGCCUUACCUGGUAAACUAAAAUAGUUUGCGCUUGGUUGGUUGGCCCCAUAGGUGGAGUUUGUGGGGGGGGGGGGCACCGGGGGGCAAUGCCCCACCCAAACUGGACACCUCUAUUAAUUUAUUUUCAGUAGUUUGCAAUUAAGAUUAAAAAUACAUAAAUUAUAUGUACCUGCCCUCCCAAAUCUAGAAGUCAAUUUCGGCCUAUGGUUGGCCCCUAAAUGUGUCAUUAUUCUCUUCCAAGCAAUCCUCAUGACAACAAUGUAUUUACGUACGAUAGGGGGCUAUAGGGUCUGUGUUUCUUCAAGUCCCCUUGCAUCACCCUUGAAUUCUUAUAGGGGGAAGUUCUAGAUGGCACACUUGAAAGAGGAAACUGCCCUUCCGAGUAUGAAAAAAGGGGAACACCCCUGUACCUAAUUAAUGUAACUCUGGACACCAUUUAAUAAUAAAAUGGGUCCAGUGUUUAGAACAGAAUGAGCGAACUUAAGGACUAGAGGUUACACGGAAAUUAAAUGCCACCUCACAGAACGAUGCCUCAAUCUGCCCAUAUAGCAGGCUGCUUUGCCACAUCUGUGCUCACUGCCCUGACCGAUAGCACACCACAGGGAGUGUUUCGGCCUCGCUGUGUGCUGCGUUGCACCACUAUCUGAGUAGUUAACCUCGCAUUCAAUAGAAUGAAGUAAAACUGAUGGAAAAACACAGCACAAAAUACAGCAUCUGUUAAUACUUGCAAUAUCAAUGCAAUGAAUGAACACUGCAGCAUCAUAAUAUUGUCUUAGAUAACAUUAAUCUCAACAAUAGGUCCUGGAUGGACCAGGCACCUACAUUAGCACUGAAUAGAUAUACAAUAGAAUAAGCUACCGUGUUUAAUAAGGUCACUUUGUGUAAUCACCAUAUAUGCAGCCUAAAUGUACAGUGCUGCAUAUAACACUGAACUGUGGAUGCGAUACUUCUUCAUCCUUGCUCUGAAGAACGCAUUAAAGUUACAUAAGUCUGGCUUGACUUAUCCAACUACAAAUAACAUUCACAAUAAUGCAAGUGGCAGGCUUUGUUGUUUACUAGGCCUCAUAUUUAUCAUAACAAUAUAACAGCAUUAUAAAGGCACCCGUCUUCACUGAGAUCCUAAUCGUGUCUCCAUUUUGUCCUCUUUGUAAUGAUUGACACCCCUGCCUCGUGGCUUAGAGAACCUUAAAUCGUAACUUUCUGGUCAUGUGACCAAACUCAACACCAUAUCAGAAAGUUCCUGUGUAAGCACACCCCCAUAUCUGCCGUGGGGCAGAACAGGCAGGUUGUCCACUUCCAUACUCACCUCGCCCAACCACCCAGCCAUUUUAGUGAAGAGAACACAGCUAAUAUUUACAUAAAUAGAUUUAUUUUACUAUACAUCAUCUAACGUUUGCCUUCCAUAAACUAUUUUUGAAAACAAAGUAUUUUUUUUAUCUUGCUUCUAAACUCCUACUCCGUUACCUCGCCUGGGUUCUGUGGGAUGAGACACUAAGUUCGAUCAUGUAUAUACUGGACAUCGGUGAAAAAUAGCUUCAUAGCUCACUGAAUUCCUCCAGCAUGAAUACAUAUUCUGAUUCUGAAGUGAUGGGGGAUAGGGGAAGGAGAAAUUAGGCUUGUGGAGGUGGAGGAGCCUGGGGGUGGGAGGGUUUGAGCUGGAGGGGACCCUCAUUAGGUUCUCAGGUGCGAGGGCUAAUGGCCUGGGAUACAUCAGCCUAGUCCCGGUAUACUCUGGAAUAAAAGUAAGGGUACAUUUAUUUACCUACUAACUCCUCCUGUGGUAAAUAGGAUUCACAGACAACAGAGUUGUAGAUACAUAUAGCUACACUAUUGCAUAUGUUGACUGCAUUUAACGCCAUAUAAAGAUUGUUUUAAUGUAUAUUUCAUAAUGUACGACCUAAUUUACGUGGUAUUUCCCAGGCACCAAUAGGAAUUUACGCAUACUAGAGAUUUUUUUGGGUUAGAUCGCGUAAAUAUAAAUGUGUUGUUAAGCCCACCACCACCCCACACAACCAAUUAGUAAGGUUUGUCACAUAAACAUCAUUUUAUGCCUAGAAUGUCGAGGUGGCUGCUUCUAGUUUAAGCCUAUUAAGUCUGAUGUGACACUCGAGGGAAGUGGAAACCUUGUCUUCCCCGGCACUGAUGUUGACACACAAUUCCACGUACUCAUUUUAGGCAAAGAUGACCUAUGGGAGGCCAUGGUCAGGUUCAGAUACCAAUUGGCAGCAGGCAGCAGGGCUAGACAUUUCAGCAACGCCACAGGGAUUGCACCUCAGUGCAUACAAAAUACACAGGGUACGUGGGUUGUUUAAUAUUGUCGUGUGUGUGUGUUUCAUCUCCACACAUUCGAAGGGGCAAUCCAGAUUGUAACAGUUUAUUAUUCAUCUCAGAUAUGUGACACACUUUUUUCCAAUGUGCUGAAACAUGUCUGUGUCAGGCAUGUCUUGUGUUGUGAAGGACAAACGUGUCUGUGUGCUUCAUGCAAAAAGGUAAAUAAGAGAUAUCCUAAAA